RNAcentral lists this long non-coding RNA (754 nucleotides) under Androctonus crassicauda. The record is from RNAcentral. Lineage: Eukaryota; Metazoa; Arthropoda; Arachnida; Scorpiones; Buthidae.
CCAAGGGUCAAAGAUAAAAGAUUUACGAGAUAUGGAACCGCAAAGUUCCGUUUGUUGCAAACGGUGCAUGCGGUCUGCCGUUGUGCCUGGCCUCGCCACUGAUUGCGACGCGACGCGUCCCGUUCUCGUGCUCCGCUACCUAUGCCGCCUAGAUGCCUCCGUAUCUCGUAAACCUUUGACCCCUGGUCCACUAGGGAUUUUUUGCGCAUUUAAAUUCCCCCUUUCGAUCUGUACCAUUUUCGCCGUGUUUCAGUAGGGCAAAAAUUGUACCUUCUUGUCCAUUUUAAGUAUCGCGUCCCUCUAAAUAAAUUAGCAAAUAUCGUUUUGUACCAUUCUGGGUAAGAUUCUACUUUGACUGCCUUGCGUUUUCGCGUCUGAUCCCGGUAUGACGCGUCUGUGAAUAAUAAGUCGCGUUAUAGUGCGCUUUAAUUAAUGCCUGUCGCUUUUUUCGUUCUCGAUAAAGCAGAUGUCGAUAUGCACGCGCAAUCCGCGGAAACGCAAGACAGACAAGGUAGGGCAAAAUAGUAGAUUACCUGCUGGUGAAAGAGUAUCGCGUCGCAUGCAACAGCGCGACUUCUUUCAUCAAGCUUUUUUAAUAAAUAUAUAUCGAACAUCGACUAAGACGGAUCUUUAAACCAAAGAUUACUCUUAACCGAUCUCUAAAUCGCAUUCUGAGAAAGCAUAUAUAUAUAUAUAUUAAAAAACUCUGCUAUAUAGGCGACGCCGCGCUGCUAAACGCAACGCGACACGUCUU